AUGCCCCUGCGGUGUUCGUGAUUGGUAGAGCGUUCCUGAGCCAACACAAACAAACGGGGAGCUCCCUCUUGUUCUGGUGUGCAGCUCGGUUCGUCCGAACUGCCUAAAGGAACAACGGAGCGCCCACCUUGCUAGAUCGGUUCAAGACCGACUGCCAACACGGCAUCCUGCGGGGGCACC
Non-coding RNA from Desulfacinum hydrothermale DSM 13146, 180 nucleotides. It matches the Rfam family "6S / SsrS RNA". Rfam says of the family: E. coli 6S RNA was the first non coding RNA to be sequenced, but its function was unknown until recently. NCBI's taxonomy places the organism in Bacteria, Pseudomonadati, Thermodesulfobacteriota, Syntrophobacteria, Syntrophobacterales, Syntrophobacteraceae. The record is from Rfam.